RNAcentral lists this ribosomal RNA (649 nucleotides) under Curtobacterium sp. EECC-687. RNAcentral describes it as "bacterial SSU rRNA". It matches the Rfam family "Bacterial small subunit ribosomal RNA", at positions 97 to 759 of the family's 1533-position model. Lineage: Bacteria; Bacillati; Actinomycetota; Actinomycetes; Micrococcales; Microbacteriaceae. The record is from RNAcentral.
GGCGAACGGGUGAGUAACACGUGAGUAACCUGCCCCUGACUCUGGGAUAAGCGUUGGAAACGACGUCUAAUACUGGAUAUGAUCACUGGCCGCAUGGUCUGGUGGUGGAAAGAUUUUUUGGUUGGGGAUGGACUCGCGGCCUAUCAGCUUGUUGGUGAGGUAAUGGCUCACCAAGGCGACGACGGGUAGCCGGCCUGAGAGGGUGACCGGCCACACUGGGACUGAGACACGGCCCAGACUCCUACGGGAGGCAGCAGUGGGGAAUAUUGCACAAUGGGCGAAAGCCUGAUGCAGCAACGCCGCGUGAGGGAUGACGGCCUUCGGGUUGUAAACCUCUUUUAGUAGGGAAGAAGCGAAAGUGACGGUACCUGCAGAAAAAGCACCGGCUAACUACGUGCCAGCAGCCGCGGUAAUACGUAGGGUGCAAGCGUUGUCCGGAAUUAUUGGGCGUAAAGAGCUCGUAGGCGGUUUGUCGCGUCUGCUGUGAAAUCCCGAGGCUCAACCUCGGGCUUGCAGUGGGUACGGGCAGACUAGAGUGCGGUAGGGGAGAUUGGAAUUCCUGGUGUAGCGGUGGAAUGCGCAGAUAUCAGGAGGAACACCGAUGGCGAAGGCAGAUCUCUGGGCCGUAACUGACGCUGAGGAGCGAAAG